GACGAACGCUGGCGGCGUGCCUAAUACAUGCAAGUUGAGCGAUGAAGAUUGGUGCUUGCACCAAUUUGAAGAGCAGCGAACGGGUGAGUAACGCGUGGGGAAUCUGCCUUUGAGCGGGGGACAACAUUUGGAAACGAAUGCUAAUACCGCAUAAUAACUUUAAACAUAAGUUUUAAGUUUGAAAGAUGCAAUUGCAUCACUCAAAGAUGAUCCCGCGUUGUAUUAGCUAGUUGGUGAGGUAAAGGCUCACCAAGGCGAUGAUACAUAGCCGACCUGAGAGGGGGAUCGGCCACAUUGGGACUGAGACACGGCCCAAAACUCUACGGGAGGCAGCAGUAGGGAAUCCUCGGGAAUGGACGAAAGUCUGACCGGGCAACGCCGGGGGAGUGAAGAAGGUUUUCGGGUCGUAAAACUCGGUUGGUAGAGAAGAACGUUGGUGAGAGUGGAAAGCUCAUCAAGUGACGGUAACUACCCAGAAAGGGACGGCUAACUACGUG
Molecule: ribosomal RNA, 497 nt
Filed under: uncultured bacterium
Lineage: Bacteria
Description: partial 16S ribosomal RNA
Rfam family: Bacterial small subunit ribosomal RNA
Source: RNAcentral